AUUGAACGCUGGCGGCAGGCCUAACACAUGCAAGUCGAACGGAUGCAGGGAGCUGGUUGCUUGAUUCAUCAGGGGAGGGGGGAGUGAGGGCUAUGAAUGGGCCACUGAGUGGUGGAGGGCGUCCGGUAACGGGCGCGAUUACCAAAUACGUACAGCGGCGGAAGAUGGAGGAGCGGCAGAUCUGGCGCUCUCGCCAUAGGCUAGGUCUAGGUGGGAUUAGCUAGUGGGUGGGGUAACGGCUCACCCAGGCGACGAACCCUAACUGGUCUGAGAGGAUGACCAGCCACACUGGAACUGAGACACGGUCCAGACUCCUACGGGAGGCAGCAGUGGGGAAUAUUGGACAAUGGGCGCAAGCCUGAUGCAGCCAUGCCGCGUGUGUGAAGAAGGUCUUCGGAUUGUAAAGUACUUUCAGCGGGGAGGAAGGGAAGUAAGUUAAUACCUUGCUGCAUUGACGUUACCCACAGAAUAAGCACCGGCUAACUCCGUG
This 490-nucleotide ribosomal RNA is filed under the name uncultured bacterium. RNAcentral describes it as "partial 16S ribosomal RNA". It matches the Rfam family "Bacterial small subunit ribosomal RNA", at positions 29 to 507 of the family's 1533-position model. The record is from RNAcentral.